GAUGAACGCUGGCGGCGUGCCUAACACAUGCAAGUCGAGCGAUCUUCUUCGGAAGAGAGCGGCGGACGGGUGAGUAACGCGUGGGUAACCUGCCCUGUACACACGGAUAACAUACCCGAAAGGUAUGCUAAUACGAGAUAAUAUGCUUUUGUCGCAUGGUAGAAGUAUCAAAGCUCCGGCGGUACAGGAUGGACCCGCGUCUGAUUAGCUAGUUGGUAAGGUAACGGCUUUACCAAGGCGACGAUCAGUAGCCGACCUGAGAGGGUGAUCGGCCACAUUGGAACUGAGACACGGUCC
RNAcentral lists this ribosomal RNA (297 nucleotides) under uncultured bacterium. RNAcentral's name for it is "partial 16S ribosomal RNA". It matches the Rfam family "Bacterial small subunit ribosomal RNA", at positions 28 to 332 of the family's 1533-position model. The record is from RNAcentral.